AGAAAAAUUUUUUAUAGUUUAUAAUUUUAUUUUAAAUUUAUUUUACAUAUAAAUUUUAGUGUUAAAUAUUAAUUAUUUUAAUAAUAAUUAAUUUUUAUAGUAGUAAUUAAUAUUAAAAAUUUAAGAAAUUAAGAUUUAGUAAUAUUUAAAUUAAUAACUAAUUUUGUGCCAGCAGUUGCGGUUAAACAAAAGUUAAAUUAAAAUAUUUCAGUUUAUAAUAAAUAAUAAAAUUUAAAAUAAAUAUUAAAUUAUUAAGUGAAAUUUUAAUUUAAUUAAAUUUUAUAUAGAAAUUAUGAUUUAAUAAAUUUUAAUAUAAACUAGGAUUAGAUACCCUAUUAUUAAAAAAUUAAUUUAUAAUACUAAAAUAGUAAAUAAUUAUUUAUUGAAACUUAAAUAAUAUGGCGGUAUUUUAGUUCAUUUAGAGGAAUCUGUCUAAUAAUUGAUAAUCCACGAAUAAAUUUACUUAAUUUAUAAUUUUGUAUAUCAUUGUUAAAAAAAUAUUUUUUUAUAAAAAUAAUAUUUUAAUUUUAAAAAUAAAAGUUAAAUCAGAUCAAGAUGCAGAGUAUAAUUAAGAAUAUGAUGGAUUACAAUAAAAAUAUUUAAAUGAAUAAUAAUUUGAAAAAUUUAUUUGAAGGUGGAUUUAAAUGUAAUUUUAUUUAGUUUAAUAAAAUGAUUAAAAAUUAAAAUAUGUACAUAUUGCCCGUCGCUUUCAUAUAUAAAUUGAAAUAAGUCGUAACAAAGUAGAAGUACUGGAAAGUCCGUACCAAAGUAGAGGUACUGGAAAGUGUUUCUAGAAAGA
Molecule: non-coding RNA, 799 nt
Filed under: Ariadne ariadne
Lineage: Eukaryota; Metazoa; Arthropoda; Insecta; Lepidoptera; Nymphalidae
Source: RNAcentral